AGUCGAGCGCACCUUCGGGUGAGCGGCGGACGGGUUAGUAACGCGUGGGAACAUACCCUUUGGUACGGAAUAGCCUCUGGAAACGGAGAGUAAUACCGUAUGAGCCCUUCGGGGGAAAGAUUUAUCGCCAAAGGAUUGGCCCGCGUUAGAUUAGGUAGUUGGUGGGGUAAUGGCCUACCAAGCCUACGAUCUAUAGCUGGUUUUAGAGGAUGAUCAGCAACACUGGGACUGAGACACGGCCCAGACUCCUACGGGAGGCAGCAGUGGGGAAUCUUGGACAAUGGGGGCAACCCUGAUCCAGCCAUGCCGCGUGAGUGAUGAAGGCCUUAGGGUCGUAAAGCUCUUUCGCCUGUGAAGAUAAUGACGGUAGCAGGUAAAGAAACCCCGGCUAACUCCGUGCCAGCAGCCGCGGUAAUACGGAGGGGGUUAGCGUUGUUCGGAAUUACUGGGCGUAAAGCGCACGUAGGCGGACUGGAAAGUUGGGGGUGAAAUCCCAGGGCUCAACCCUGGAACUGCCUCCAAAACUAUCAGUCUAGAGUUCGAGAGAGGUGAGUGGAAUUCCGAGUGUAGAGGUGAAAUUCGUAGAUAUUCGGAGGAACACCAGUGGCGAAGGCGGCUCACUGGCUCGAUACUGACGCUGAGGUGCGAAAGUGUGGGGAGCAAACAGGAUUAGAUACCCUGGUAGUCCACACCGUAAACGAUGAAUGCCAGUCGUCGGGUAGCAUGCUAUUCGGUGACACACCUAACGGAUUAAGCAUUCCGCCUGGGGAGUACGGUCGCAAGAUUAAAACUCAAGGAAUUGACGGGGGCCCGCAC
RNAcentral lists this ribosomal RNA (816 nucleotides) under Ruegeria sp. Rg300. Its description in RNAcentral is "bacterial SSU rRNA". It matches the Rfam family "Bacterial small subunit ribosomal RNA", at positions 60 to 926 of the family's 1533-position model. Lineage: Bacteria; Pseudomonadati; Pseudomonadota; Alphaproteobacteria; Rhodobacterales; Roseobacteraceae. The record is from RNAcentral.